Molecule: long non-coding RNA, 320 nt
Organism: Xenopus tropicalis (tropical clawed frog)
Lineage: Eukaryota; Metazoa; Chordata; Amphibia; Anura; Pipidae
Exons: 3
Source: RefSeq, a predicted model, not a curated record
UUGAUUUUGCAGCAUCCACAACAUCUCCAACAACAACAUCUGUGACAACAACAACUUCAACCACAACAUACAGCACAUCAUGUUCCUGUUCUUAUAAAGGAAAAUUAUAUUCACCAGGUCAGGAAAUAACAAGUAGUUCAGUUCUUGGAAUAUGCUACAGUAUUGUAUGUGACAUCAAUUGUAAUGAUGGGGCAAAUGCAAUUGAGGUACCUUGUGAAACAACACCACCAACUACUACAACUAAAACACCACCAACUACAACUAAAACACCACCAACUACAACAACAACCACACCACCAACUACUACAAAAACACCACCA